UACGGGGGGGGUAAGCGUUGUUCGGAAUUACUGGGCGUAAAGGGCUCGUAGGCGGCCAACUAAGUCGGACGUGAAAUCCCUCAGCUUAACUGGGGAACUGCGUCCGAUACUGGAUGGCUUGGAUUUGGGAGAGGGAUGCGGAAUUCCAGGUGUAGCGGUGAAAUGCGUAGAUAUCUGGAGGAACACCGGUGGCGAAGGCAGCUUGCUGGGACGGUACUGACGCUGAGACGCGAAAGCGUGGGGAGCAAACAGG
RNAcentral lists this ribosomal RNA (253 nucleotides) under uncultured bacterium. RNAcentral's name for it is "partial 16S ribosomal RNA". It matches the Rfam family "Bacterial small subunit ribosomal RNA", at positions 524 to 776 of the family's 1533-position model. The record is from RNAcentral.